This is a small nuclear RNA of Suricata suricatta (meerkat), 164 nucleotides long. Its record names the gene U1. It matches the Rfam family "U1 spliceosomal RNA". Rfam says of the family: U1 is a small nuclear RNA (snRNA) component of the spliceosome (involved in pre-mRNA splicing). The record is from Ensembl. NCBI's taxonomy places the organism in Eukaryota, Metazoa, Chordata, Mammalia, Carnivora, Herpestidae.
AAAUUGAGUGUGGCAGGGGGAUUCUGUGACCACAAAGGUGGUUUUCGCAGGGCGAGGCCUGUCCAUUGCACUCCGGAUGUGCUGACCCCUGCGAUUUCUGCAAAUGUGGGAAACUCGAUUGCAUAAUUUGUGGUAGCAGGGGAUUACGUUUGCACUUUCCCCUG